GUGGGGAAUCUUCCGCAAUGGACGAAAGUCUGACGGAGCAACGCCGCGUGAAGGAAGAAGGUUUUCGGAUCGUAAACUUCUAUCCUUGGUGAAGAUAAUGACGGUAGCCAAGAAGGAAGCCCCGGCUAACUACGUGCCAGCAGCCGCGGUAAUACGUAGGUGGCAAGCGUUGUCCGGAUUUACUGGGUGUAAAGGGCGCGUAGGCGGGAGAGCAAGUCAGGAGUGAAAUCUAUGGGCUUAAUCCAUAAAUUGCUUUUGAAACUGUUUUUCUUGAGUGAUGGAGAGGCAAGCGGAAUUCCUAGUGUAGCGGUGAAAUGCGUAGAUAUUAGGAGGAACACCAGUGGCGAAGGCGGCUUGCUGGACAUUAACUGACGCUGAUGCGCGAAAGCGUGGGGAGCAAACAGGAUUAGAAACCCGUGUAGUCC
This 425-nucleotide ribosomal RNA is filed under the name uncultured bacterium. RNAcentral describes it as "partial 16S ribosomal RNA". It matches the Rfam family "Bacterial small subunit ribosomal RNA", at positions 354 to 796 of the family's 1533-position model. The record is from RNAcentral.